AUCAGUAUUCCAAGAAUACAAACAGAAGAGGUGCGAAAACUUCUUCCUUACGAAUGAAUCUUUUUCAAGAUCAUUCUUACAAUCAAAUCUAGAUACUAAAAGAAAAAUAUUAAAAAUUCUAGAUUUCAAAGAUGUACUCGUGAGGAGUACGUAAAGAACUUAUGAAUGAAUCACUAUCUUGAUCAUUCUUACAACCAAGUCUAGAAACAUAUAUACUAAACAAUCUAGACUACAAAGAAUGUACUUAUGAGAAGUACGUAAAGAAUGUACUCAUAAGGAGUACGUAAAGAAUGUACUCACGAAGAGUACAAACAACCGAUUCUAAAACCUAACUAAAACACUCGUGUAUUCUCUUCAGCC
Molecule: long non-coding RNA, 360 nt
Filed under: Erythranthe guttata (spotted monkey flower)
Lineage: Eukaryota; Viridiplantae; Streptophyta; Magnoliopsida; Lamiales; Phrymaceae
Description: long non-coding RNA (EGUT_LNC002131)
Source: RNAcentral